Molecule: ribosomal RNA, 396 nt
Filed under: uncultured bacterium
Lineage: Bacteria
Description: partial 16S ribosomal RNA
Rfam family: Bacterial small subunit ribosomal RNA
Source: RNAcentral
AUACGUAGGGGGCAAGCGUUAUCCGGAUUUACUGGGUGUAAAGGGAGCGUAGGUGGUGAUGCAAGUCAGAAGUGAAAGCCCUCGGCUCAACUGAGGGACUGCUUUUGAAACUGCAUUACUAGAGUGCAGGAGGGGUAAGCGGAAUUCCUAGUGUAGCGGUGAAAUGCGUAGAUAUUAGGAAGAACACCGGUGGCGAAGGCGGCUUACUGGAAUGAAACUGACACUGAGGCUCAAAAGCGUGGGGAGCAAACAGGAUUAGAUACCCGGGUAGCCCACGCCGUAAACGAUGAAUACUAGGUGUAGGGAGGCAUAGCCUCUCGGUGCCGCAGUUAACGCAAUAAGUAUUCCACCUGGGGAGUACGUUCGCAAGAAUGAAACUCAAAUGAAUUGACGGGG